RNAcentral lists this ribosomal RNA (467 nucleotides) under uncultured bacterium. RNAcentral describes it as "bacterial SSU rRNA". It matches the Rfam family "Bacterial small subunit ribosomal RNA", at positions 328 to 793 of the family's 1533-position model. The record is from RNAcentral.
GAUCCAGACUCCUACGGGAGGCAGCAGUGAGGAAUAUUGGUCAAUGGCCGGAAGGCUGAACCAGCCAAGCCGCGUGAAGGACGAAGGUGCCAAGCAUUGUAAACUUCUUUUGUCAAGGGACAAAAUCAGGCUCGAGAGCCUGACCGAGGGUACUUGAAGAAAAAGCAUCGGCUAACUCCGUGCCAGCAGCCGCGGUAAUACGGAGGAUGCGAGCGUUAUCCGGAUUUAUUGGGUUUAAAGGGUGCGUAGGCGGACUGUUAAGUCAGCGGUAAAAGCCCGGGGCUCAACCCCGGCCUGCCGUCGGAACUGGGUGCCUUGAGUGGGCGAGAAGUAUGCGGAAUGCGUGGUGUAGCGGUGAAAUGCAUAGAUAUCACGCAGAACCCCGAUUGCGAAGGCAGCAUACCGGCGCCCUACUGACGCUGAGGCACGAAAGUGCGGGUAUCGAACAGGAUUAGAUACCCGAGUAU